This 73-nucleotide ribosomal RNA is filed under the name Dehalococcoidia bacterium. Its description in RNAcentral is "partial 23S ribosomal RNA". The record is from RNAcentral. Lineage: Bacteria; Bacillati; Chloroflexota; Dehalococcoidia.
GGUCAAGCGGUUAAGGCGCAUGGUGGAUGCCUUGGCAUCAAGGGCCGAAGAAGGGCGUGGCAAGACUGCGAAA